UUGGCCUCAAAUCAGGUAGGACUACCCGC
This 29-nucleotide ribosomal RNA is filed under the name Amanita sp. 'pubescens sensu Coker'. RNAcentral's name for it is "partial 28S ribosomal RNA". Lineage: Eukaryota; Fungi; Basidiomycota; Agaricomycetes; Agaricales; Amanitaceae. The record is from RNAcentral.